GACGAACGCUGGCGGCGUGCCUAAUACAUGCAAGUAGAACGCUGAAGAGAGGAGCUUGCUCUUCUUGGAUGAGUUGCGAACGGGUGAGUAACGCGUAGGUAACCUGCCUUGUAGCGGGGGAUAACUAUUGGAAACGAUAGCUAAUACCGCAUAACAAUGGAUGACACAUGUCAUUUAUUUGAAAGGGGCAAUUGCUCCACUACAAGAUGGACCUGCGUUGUAUUAGCUAGUAGGUGAGGUAAUGGCUCACCUAGGCGACGAUACAUAGCCGACCUGAGAGGGUGAUCGGCCACACUGGGACUGAGACACGGCCCAGACUCCUACGGGAGGCAGCAGUAGGGAAUCUUCGGCAAUGGGGGCAACCCUGACCGAGCAACGCCGCGUGAGUGAAGUAGGUUUUCGGAUCGUAAAGCUCUGUUGUAAGUCAAGAACGGGUGUGAGAGUGGAAAGUUCACACUGUGACGGUAGCUUACCAGAAAGGGACGGCUAACUACGUG
Molecule: ribosomal RNA, 497 nt
Filed under: uncultured bacterium
Lineage: Bacteria
Description: partial 16S ribosomal RNA
Rfam family: Bacterial small subunit ribosomal RNA
Source: RNAcentral